GAUGAACGCUGGCGGCGUGCCUAAUACAUGCAAGUCGAGCGAACAGACGAGGAGCUUGCUCCUCUGACGUUAGCGGCGGACGGGUGAGUAACACGUGGAUAACCUGCCUAUAAGACUGGGAUAACUUCGGGAAACCGGAGCUAAUACCGGAUAAUAUAUUGAACCGCAUGGUUCAAUAGUGAAAGACGGUUUUGCUGUCACUUAUAGAUGGAUCCGCGCCGCAUUAGCUAGUUGGUAAGGUAACGGCUUACCAAGGCAACGAUGCGUAGCCGACCUGAGAGGGUGAUCGGCCACACUGGAACUGAGACACGGUCCAGACUCCUACGGGAGGCAGCAGUAGGGAAUCUUCCGCAAUGGGCGAAAGCCUGACGGAGCAACGCCGCGUGAGUGAUGAAGGUCUUCGGAUCGUAAAACUCUGUUAUUAGGGAAGAACAAAUGUGUGAGUAACUAUGCACGUCUUGACGGUACCUAAUCAGAAAGCCACGGCUAACUACGUG
Molecule: ribosomal RNA, 497 nt
Filed under: uncultured bacterium
Lineage: Bacteria
Description: partial 16S ribosomal RNA
Rfam family: Bacterial small subunit ribosomal RNA
Source: RNAcentral